RNAcentral lists this ribosomal RNA (433 nucleotides) under uncultured bacterium. RNAcentral describes it as "partial 16S ribosomal RNA". It matches the Rfam family "Bacterial small subunit ribosomal RNA", at positions 29 to 507 of the family's 1533-position model. The record is from RNAcentral.
AACGAACGCUGGCGGCAUGCCUAACACAUGCAAGUCGAACGAGACCUUCGGGUCUAGUGGCGCACGGGUGCGUAACGCGUGGGAACCUGCCUUUAGGUUCGGAAUAACUCAGAGAAAUUUGAGCUAAUACCGGAUGAUGUCUUCGGACCAAAGAUUUAUCGCCUUUAGAUGGGCCCGCGUUGGAUUAGCUAGUUGGUGGGGUAAAGGCCUACCAAGGCGACGAUCCAUAGCUGGUCUGAGAGGAUGAUCAGCCACACUGGGACUGAGACACGGCCCAGACUCCUACGGGAGGCAGCAGUGGGGAAUAUUGGACAAUGGGCGAAAGCAUGAUCCAGCAAUGCAGCGUGAGUGAUGAAGGCCUUAGGGUUGUAAAGCUCUUUUACCCGAGAUGAUAAUGACAGUAUCGGGAGAAUAAGCGCCGGCUAACUCCGUG